RNAcentral lists this ribosomal RNA (597 nucleotides) under uncultured bacterium. Its description in RNAcentral is "bacterial SSU rRNA". It matches the Rfam family "Bacterial small subunit ribosomal RNA", at positions 338 to 920 of the family's 1533-position model. The record is from RNAcentral.
CCUACGGGAGGCAGCAGUGGGGAAUUUUGGACAAUGGGCGAAAGCCUGGUCCAGCCAUUCCGCGUGAGUGAAGAAGGCCUUCGGGUUGUAAAGCUCUUUCGCAAGGGAAGAAAACUUAUAUUCUAAUAAAGUAUGAGGAUGACGGUACCUUGAUAAGAAGCACCGGCUAACUACGUGCCAGCAGCCGCGGUAAUACGUAGGGUGCGAGCGUUAAUCGGAAUUACUGGGCGUAAAGCGUGCGCAGGCGGUUUUUGAAAGUCAGAUGUGAAAUCCCCGAGCUCAACUUGGGAACUGCGUUUGAAACUCCAAAGCUAGAGUAUAGGAGAGGGGGGUAGAAUUCCACGUGUAGCAGUGAAAUGCGUAGAGAUGUGGAGGAAUACCAAUGGCGAAGGCAGCCCCCUGGCCUAAUACUGACGCUCAUGCACGAAAGCGUGGGGAGCAAACAGGAUUAGAUACCCUGGUAGUCCACGCCCUAAACGAUGUCUACUAGUUGUUGGUGGAGUAAAAUCCAUUAGUAACGCAGACUAACGNGUAGAAGUAGACCGCGUGGGGAGUACGGUCGACGAAGAAUUAAACUACGAAAGUUAAGUUAGACGG